UAUCAACCCUGAAGCUCUCGGGGGCAAAUUCACCAUACUUAUCCACCUAUAGCCUUACUAAAAAAUCUUGCUUUUCUACAUAAAACUGCCAAAAAUUGCGAGUGUCACUUUUUUUUUGCAAAAAAUUGCCAAUUUUCAUUUUGUUGCUAUAAAUUACUGAAAAUUGUCGCUUUUUCAAAAAAUCUCAAGUUUUAAUUUUUUUACAUUAAAAGUUUCGCUUUUUGACCAAAAAAUGGCGAAACAGCCACUUUUCUGAGAAAAAUGUGAAAAAAGUAUCAUUUUUUUGCCAUUACUUGCCAAAAAGUCAUUUUUUCUCAUUUAAAUUUUGGCUUUUUUUGUGAUUUUUUUCUACGCCAAUUUUUUUUGCUCACGUCUCAUAAGUUGUAACUUUUAUAGCUACUGUUUUGAACCUUUUUGGAUAUUAAAGUUACUUUUUUUUAAAAUGAAUUGAGUACAAAUGCUGGAAAAAAGAAAAAAAAUUGAAAAGUUUUCAACACCAUUUGACCCCAAACUCGAUACUGCCCCCCCCCCCCCACAGGGAGGUUGAAUUUCUUCAUACCCAUACUGCACUUUUUAAAAUUUUUGGGUCUCGACUUCUUUGGAGGGUUCAUUUUCAUUGGGGGGAAGGGGGUGGUUAUCCGAUCAAUUACCAUCUGUGAAAGCCUAAAAUUUUCAAAAUUUUGGACUUCAGCCCUUUUCCCUCUGGUCCAAUCUGAGGGCUUAUUUUUCAAUUUUCGAAUUAAACUAAUGAUUUGAAUUUUUUUUUGUUUUUUCUCCUUCACGGUUCAGCUUUUCCAAUUUAUUUUUGAGUUUUGAUUCAACCCUUUGGCAAAAGCUCAGACUUUCAAAAUUUUGAAUUUUAUUUCGCACUUUGGCUCAGAUCGUGCUGGAAAAAUUUAGAAAUCGACUCCACUUAAUAUUCACACAUUUUUCACCCAGAAGGUUUUUCAUGUUAUGCAAAUUACUUCAAAAAAAUGACCAUAAACUCCACCUAGCUCGAAACAAUCGUCGAUACAAUUUGGUUAAAUCGUAUCAAUAAUAUUUCCCAUAAUAAGCGCAUAGUUUGGACGGGUUUUCUGGCAUUUGUUGAAAUAUAUGCGUAUAAAUCGUCGUCGCGGUGGCGUUUAAAUAGGUCACGGACCAUGUAGUUUUUGUUUUGGUGUGCGCCCUGCAAAGCGAGAGAACAACACGAGGAGGAGGAUACAAGAGAAGGGUAAAAAACUAAUUACUCGUCGAAUGGAUAAUGGCGAACGACGACGACGAGCUCGCAAAAAACCCCUGUUGAUAUUUUGUCAGCCAAAUGGUGAAUUUUUCGUCGAGAGAGAGUCGACUUUCUUCAAUAUUUCUUCGCGCCACGUUUCGUUUAGAAAAAUUGAAAAUAUUUCCCGUCAAAUGAGAUGGUUUUUGUUUUUUAACGUCGGUCGGGUCGGGUCGGGUAGGGGUAUAUAGCGCUUGAGAAAGGUAAUCAGGGUAAAGAGGGAGGUUUUUCUAGCUCUCUGGUAUACGCGAUUUACGUGCUGAUGGUAGGAAUUUGAAAAAGAGUAUAAUUUUUGAACUACUUUUUAUUCACAAUGGGAAUAAUACGCAAGAUACAGGGAUGGCUUUUUGCGCCCUUACAUCAAAAUUAAAACGUUGCUAGACGAAAAUCUUUUCAUGAAGUACGUGAUACGCUUCGGGACAGAUUAAAAAAAAAUAUUUCCUUUUUUUCUUUCUUUUUUUUUUUUUUUUAAUACAUCAGAAGCAUCGCAUCGAGGAGAAAAAAAUGUCGUUGAACAGAACAGAACAGAGUAGAGCAGAGUAAACUACAUAGAGAGAAUACGAUGUUGAUGUAGUCGAAGCGCGGUCGUUAAACAAUUCAUGAAAAGCUGUCUUUUUCAACUUUUCAGCAAUCAUGUGCUUUUGUGUGUAUUACAGAACAGCUGGACGAAUUAAUUUUGUUUUAAUUUUACGCAUCGUUAAGCUCACGGAACCUUGUAUUGUUGUAUUGCGAGGUGUAAAUGUAUCUGCUGAGAUGAACGUGUACAAUUUCACAACUCAGCUCGCGAAUAAUCGUAUUUUGUAACGUUUUAUAAUACGUAAUGUACCUUAGCCUAGAGUUUACGUGUAGAAUCUACCUAUAAUACGAGUAUAUUGUGUAAUAUUACUUGUAUUUUCUGAUAUUUUGCCUUAUUUAAUAGUUUGGUUUAGAUGUGAAGUAGAAUAUUGUAAAAUUAUGUUCGAGAAAAGCUGGUUUAUAAUUUUGUAUCCUCCAUGAUCAUUCUUCAUCCUGUGUUUGUUUCAUUACUGGACGGAGAACUGAUUCUGGCUGGUACAAAUAUGUUCCACUGUGGUCUCAAGAAGAAUUUUCGGAUUCUAGUUGAAAUAUGAUGUGUUUUUUUGUGUGUUUUUAACUCGAAUAUGUUUCAGUGCUGAGAGGAUCGGUUCGAAAUUAAUGUGGUGAUUUUCAACUGCAGUGUGCAUCCCCUAAAAAUCAAGCAAAGUAGUUGAUUAAACACGUUGAAAAAGUAAGACGAAAAUUCCAUUAUAAACGUUCGAUGAAGUUUGAAAAUUUGAAAAACGAAAAAGUGAAGCUAUAAAGGUAAUUUUUAUACACCCAUUCCUCCGAAAUUUUUUUGGAAUGUACAAAGACGUUGGGAAAGCGAAAAAUUGGCACGUAAAUUUUUAGCACCUUCCCUCUCCCUCUAUCCCUCCAUCAGAAAAAAAGAGUCGUCAAGUAUUUGCAAAGCUCCUACUCGAUUAUUUUUCAUGUAACCAACUGAACAUAACUUUCGUCUAAUUUUUUAAAAUUUUGGUUGCUUGGAUUAUUUUUUGAAAAAAAAAAAAUCAAAAAUUUAAUUUUUCUGAAAUUUUGGCUUGACUUAAUUUUUUGAAAAAAAAAGAAAGGAAAAAAUUAUAACAAAUAUCAACAAGUAUAGUGUUAUUCUGGAGUACAUUUUUUUACUGUUUUUUAAUUGACUACACUGCCUUUUCAACGUUUUCUCUCGCCUCGCUUUUUGCUUAAAUCGUCAAGGUCUUGCUUUCUGUCAAAAAAUACUAAAAACUUUCAUUACCUAUUUGGCAAAAAAUUUCAAAAGUUUUGCUUUGUGUCAGUAAUUGCCGAAAAUUCUCAUUUUAUUGCCAAAAAUCUGCAAAAAGUGCAAAAAACUUGUUUGCCAAAAAUUUACAAAAAUUCUCUCUUUAUUGCGCCAAAAAUGUUGUAAAGUUUCUCUUUUUGGCAAAAAAUGCUAAAAAAAAACUCGCCCAUUUGUUGAACUUGUCAGUAUAGAUUUCUGCCAAAAGCAACAAAAAGUUUCACCUAGGUAUUGUCUAGAGUAUCAGGAAGUGUCGUUUUCUCGUAAAACUGCAGAAGCUUAACACCCUCUGGCAUACAUUGCAAAAGUUACUUCUAAAAAUUGUCAAAAAAAACUCAUUUUUCGCCACGAAGCUGCGAAAGAUUUACUUUUUCGACAAAAGGUGCAAAAAAACACGUUUUGUUUGCCAGUAAUCAACAAAAAAUUCUCUUUGUGGCUAACAAUUGCUAGAAAUUGGUACAUACUCGUAUUUUGCAAAAAGAGCACCUUUUGCUGGAGUAGUUUUCUGCCAAAAAUAGCAAAAAGUUUGACUUUUUGUUAAAAUUGCCAAAAAUCUGUUUUUUUUUUUGGCUAAAAUUGACGGUUCCUUGCGAAAAAUUUUAAAAAGUUCAAAUUUUUCCCAAAAGUUUUAGAAGGGUUGCUUUUUGCCAGAAAUUCUCGAAAUUUCCAUAAUUCUUUAUUUUUGUACAAUUUUGACCAACUCUUGAUCGAGUUUAUUUUAUGAUGACUAAAUUUUAGUUGGAAAUUGAGAUAUUUUUUUGGUACGUUUUUUUACGUCAAGUUUAAUUGAAAGGUUCUGUUUUUUUGCCAAUUUUCCUGCAUUAUAAUGUUUUGCUCACGUUUUGUUUAUUCAAAGUUACUUUUUUUUUUUAGAAGAUGAAUUGAGUCGAAUCCUGUAUUCGAAAAAAGUCUUGUCCAAGUUCCUUGAGCCUCAUAUCAAGUCCUCAGAUUUCUUGCGUGAUUUAUUCCACUUCUUUUUGCAAUGUGAGCCUCCAAAUUUCAUGAAGUUGAAAAAGAUCUGGCGAUAAUUUAAACGUUGUUGUUGAAAACCUAACAAAUCAUGCAUCUUAUGAAUUCAAAUUUGAAUUUUUUUUGACAGUUGAUUUUUUGAAUUUUUAUAUUGAACGCAACAUAAGUUGAGGUGAAAGAAUACUAUUUUUAGGAAUAAGCUACUAUAAUAAGUAUGUUAUGAUGGACUAUGUUUGUAAAAAAAGAAAUAAAAAAAUUAAAUUUUGUGUA
Planococcus citri (citrus mealybug) is the source of this 4310-nucleotide long non-coding RNA. RefSeq lists it as uncharacterized. The record is from RefSeq and is a predicted model, not a curated record. NCBI's taxonomy places the organism in Eukaryota, Metazoa, Arthropoda, Insecta, Hemiptera, Pseudococcidae. The transcript is spliced from 3 exons.